CCCGACGACAAUAGUGCAGUUGUCCCACCUGAUUCCAUACCGAACUCAGAAGUGAAAAGCUGUAACGUCGAUGGUA
RNAcentral lists this ribosomal RNA (76 nucleotides) under Glaesserella parasuis. The record is from RNAcentral. Lineage: Bacteria; Pseudomonadati; Pseudomonadota; Gammaproteobacteria; Pasteurellales; Pasteurellaceae.